This 60-nucleotide transfer RNA is filed under the name Pseudoroegneria stipifolia. RNAcentral's name for it is "Elymus stipifolius partial tRNA-Met". It matches the Rfam family "tRNA", at positions 1 to 57 of the family's 71-position model. Rfam says of the family: Transfer RNA (tRNA) molecules are approximately 80 nucleotides in length. Their secondary structure includes four short double-helical elements and three loops (D, anti-codon, and T loops). Lineage: Eukaryota; Viridiplantae; Streptophyta; Magnoliopsida; Poales; Poaceae. The record is from RNAcentral.
AGCGGAGUAGAGCAGUUUGGUAGCUCACGAGGCUCAUAACCUUGAGGUCACGGGUUCGAU